Molecule: ribosomal RNA, 871 nt
Filed under: uncultured archaeon
Lineage: Archaea
Description: bacterial SSU rRNA
Rfam family: Archaeal small subunit ribosomal RNA
Source: RNAcentral
UUCCGGUUGAUCCUGCCGGCGGCCACCGCUAUUGGAAUUCGAUUAAGACAUGCGAGUCGAGAGAUAUUUGGUCUCGGCAGACCGCUCAGUAACACGCGGAUAACAUGCCCUUGGGAGGAGGAUAACCUCGGGAAACUGAGAAUAAUACUCCAUAGACCUUAGAUGCUGGAAUGCUUUAAGGUCGAAAACUCCGGUGCCCAAGGAUUGAUCUGCGGCGUAUCAGGUUGUAGUGGGCGUAACGGACCCCCUAGCCUACGACGCGUAAGGGCCUUGAGAGAGGGAGCCCUGAGAUGGACUCUGAGACAUGAGUCCAGGCCCUACGGGGCGCAGCAGUCGCGAAAACUUCACAAUGGGGGAAACCCCGAUGAGGGAAUUCCAAGUGCCAGCACUUAGUGUUGGCUGUUCUCCUGUCUAAAAAACAGGAGAAGUAAGGGCCGGGUAAGACGGGUGCCAGCCGCCGCGGUAAUACCCGCGGCCCGAGUGGUGGUCGAUAUUAUUGAGCCUAAAACGUCCGUAGCCGGUCUUGUAAAUCCUUGGGUAAAUCGGCCAGCUUAACUGUCCGAAGUCCGGGGAGACUGCAAGACUUGGGAUCGGGAGAGGUCAGAGGUACUUCUGGGGUAGGGGUAAAAUCCUGUAAUCCUAGGAGGACCACCGGUGGCGAAGGCGUCUGACUAGAACGAAUCCGACGGUGAGGGACGAAGCCCUGGGGCGCAAACGGGAUUAGAUACCCCGGUAGUCCAGGGUGUAAACGCUGCGGGCUUGGUGUUGGGGGUCCUUAGAGGGCGCCCAGUGCCGGAGAGAAGUUGUUAAGCCUGCUGCUUGGGGAGUACGUCCGCAAGGAUGAAACUUAAAGGAAUUGGCGGGGGAGCAC